Molecule: ribosomal RNA, 440 nt
Filed under: uncultured bacterium
Lineage: Bacteria
Description: partial 16S ribosomal RNA
Rfam family: Bacterial small subunit ribosomal RNA
Source: RNAcentral
CUACGGGGUGCUGCAGUAGGGAAUAUUGGGCAAUGGGGGAAACCCUGACCCAGCAACGCCGCGUGAGGGAAGAAGGUUUUCGGAUUGUAAACCUCUGUCCUUGGGGAAGAAAAAAAUGACGGUACCCAAGGAGGAAGCUCCGGCUAACUACGUGCCAGCAGCCGCGGUAAUACGUAGGGAGCAAGCGUUGUCCGGAAUUACUGGGCGUAAAGGGUGUGUAGGCGGCAUGUUAAGUCAGAUGUGAAAUGUAGGGGCAACCCCUGAACUGCAUUUGAAACUGGCAAGCUUGAGUGCGAGAGAGGUAAGUGGAAUUCCUAGUGUAGCGGUGGAAUGCGUAGAUAUUAGGAGGAACACCAGUGGCGAAGGCGACUUACUGGCUCGUAACUGACGCUGAGACACGAAAGCGUGGGGAGCAAACAGGAUUAGAUACCCGCGUAGUC